This 441-nucleotide ribosomal RNA is filed under the name uncultured bacterium. RNAcentral describes it as "partial 16S ribosomal RNA". It matches the Rfam family "Bacterial small subunit ribosomal RNA", at positions 338 to 795 of the family's 1533-position model. The record is from RNAcentral.
CCUACGGGAGGCAGCAGUGGGGAAUAUUGCACAAUGGGGGAAACCCUGAUGCAGCGACGCCGCGUGAGUGAAGAAGUAUUUCGGUAUGUAAAGCUCUAUCAGCAGGGAAGAAGAAAGACGGUACCUGACUAAGAAUCCCCGGCUAACUACGUGCCAGAAGCCGCGGUAACACAUAGGGGGCAAGCGUUAUCCGGAGUUACUGGGUGGAAAGGGAGCGUAGACGGCUGUGCAGGUCUGAAGUGAAAGCCCAGGGCUCAACCCUGGGACUGCUUUGGAAACUGUGGAGCUAGAGUGCUGGAGAGGUAAGUGGAAUUCCUAGUGUAGCGGUUAAAUGCGUAGAUAUUAGGAGGAACACCAGUGGCGAAGGCGGCUUACUGGACAGUAACGGACGUUGAGGCUCGAAAGCGUGGGGAGCAAACAGUAUUAGAUACCCUUGUAGUC